CUUUGAAUUAUCACCACCACCAGCUUGGAGAGUGGGUUCAACACCGCCUGCAACAACGUCAGCACCCUGCAAAACAAAAUAACCACAGUAAUUGUUAUCCAACGAAAGAAAAAGAAACAAAAACACAUUAUAUGUUUUGAUGCUAAGAUAACUAUUACCAAACUAAUGACAUAACAACUAAUCUCUUAGUUAACAAUCGUUGCCUACAAACUUACCUGCGGAUGAGCAAUCAGACCUGGGGAGGGGAGAUCUUCAUCCAUUGGGACAUUGUUCUCCGGCUAGAACCAAAAAAAAAAAAAAAAAAAAUUAAACAGUGAGGGGGGAAUGCAAACCUGGUUAACAAAACUCCAUUAAUAACAACUAUAUAGAUUAAACAUUUUACUAACAGUUAUACCACUAUAACAUAGCAACUAACCUCUGCGUUAUCUUCAACAACAGAGUCUGUGGGUGGGACAACAUGACCUGUAACAUUGUUACCGCCCUAAAAAAAUUUUACAAAAAUUAGUUAAACAACAAUAAAACACAGUCACAGCGUCAUUGUAUGUUUGAAGGUAAAAGUAAGUGUUAGCAUCUACCUAAGAUAACACCAAAUAUCUGAAAUAACUUAGCCAAAUAUCACCAUAGACAACUCGCCCACAUUUUACUAAUAGUUACCCCAGAAAAACCAAAACAACUAACCUCGGGGUUAUCUUCAUCAACACAUUCUGUGGGGGGGACAACAUCAGCUGUAACGUUGUUAACGCC
RNAcentral lists this long non-coding RNA (744 nucleotides) under Arabidopsis lyrata. RNAcentral's name for it is "long non-coding RNA (ALYR_LNC000895)". Lineage: Eukaryota; Viridiplantae; Streptophyta; Magnoliopsida; Brassicales; Brassicaceae. The record is from RNAcentral.